Molecule: RNase P RNA, 513 nt
Filed under: Candidatus Magasanikiibacteriota bacterium
Lineage: Bacteria; Candidatus Magasanikiibacteriota
Description: Candidatus Magasanikbacteria bacterium RNase P RNA component class A
Rfam family: Bacterial RNase P class A
About the family: Ribonuclease P (RNase P) is a ubiquitous endoribonuclease, found in archaea, bacteria and eukarya as well as chloroplasts and mitochondria.
Source: RNAcentral
GUGCUCAUUCAAGAUGGUUGCCCGUUUAUGCCGCCCUGUUGGACGGCAGUGAACGGGAGGAAAGUCCGAACACCCUAUGACAACGCAGGUCACAUUGACAGUCCCCGCGUUGAUUGUAGAAGCAGGUAGUGGGUAACGCCCACCCUUUGCAUGGCAACAUGCCGAGCGGGAAAGUGCCACAGAGACAAUACUAUCCCGAUUUAUCGGGAGAAAGGUGAAACGUGUUCUGAUAUAUAAGACGAUAGAAGGAAUUCCUUGUCUUAUGUUACAGAACUCGGCUCCGUGUAAACGGAUGCCGUGGUAAACCCUGCCUGGUGCAAGUGCAGCGCUCCUUCGCCCUCCUACGGAGGGCUUCGGAGGCGCAGGCGUUCGUAGAGUGCCUGCACUACGAAGCUUUAGCGAAGUAGUGAAAAGUUCGCACGCAUAGAACUGCGGGAGCAAUCCCGUGGUCAAGAGUGAUAACCAUCACCCAUUGUCUGGGAACAGAAUUCGGCUUAUUGAAUGGGCACCGUA